CACUCCUGAAUGUGGUUGUGGACCUCAUUGGAAGAAGGCAUACUUUCCAGUGUGGAUUAGAUGUGUUGAAAAGUUGGUUUUGCUCUUUCUGAAAAUUUCACUGUCUGGUAUCAGAUCCAUAAACUGUGGGACAGACAUCCCCCAUAUCCAGCCUCUGACCUACAUAUUCGAGAUAUUCAUCUCAGAUCCUGUCUAAGUUACUAAUGAAGUGGGUGACUGUUUCAGUCAGGGCUCCGUAUACCAGCAGGACAUGGCCAACCAUCACAAGAAGCUGAAUAUAUAUAGUGUGUUUGGAAUAUAUUUAUUUUAAUAAAAUGGUCCAGUAGCUCAAAAGUUGAUUUCACUGCUAUCCCUGGUAGUCAUAGAAUAGCCCAUACGAAACCUUCAUGGGACCAGAAGCUGGUAAUGUCUUCAUGUUGAGC
This is a long non-coding RNA of Penaeus indicus, 422 nucleotides long. RefSeq lists it as uncharacterized. NCBI's taxonomy places the organism in Eukaryota, Metazoa, Arthropoda, Malacostraca, Decapoda, Penaeidae. The transcript has 3 exons. The record is from RefSeq and is a predicted model, not a curated record.